GGGCCCCCCUAAUUGGUGUUUAAUGCAGUCUUAACGAUGUAACACAGACUUGCUCCUUUGACGUUAGCGGCGGACGGGUGAGUAACACGUGGGCAACCUACCUUAUAGUUUGGGAUAACUCCGGGAAACCGGGGCUAAUACCGAAUAAUCUAUUUCACCUCAUGGUGAAAUAUUGAAAUACGGUUUCGGCUGUCGCUAUAGGAUGGGCCCGCGGCGCAUUAGCUAGUUGGUGAGGUAACGGCUCACCAGGGCGACGAUGCGUAGCCGACCUGACACGGUGAUCGGCCACACUGGGACUGACACACGGCCCAGACUCCUACGGGAGGCAGCAGUAGGGAAUCUUCCACAAUGGGCGAAAUCCUGAUGGAGCAACGCCACGUGAGUGAAAAAGGAUUUCGGUUCGUAUAACUCUGUUGUAAGGGAAGAACAAGUACAGUAGUAACUGGCUGUACCUUGACGGUACCUUAUUAAAAAGCCACGGCUAACUACGUGCCAGCAGCCGCGGUAAUACAUAGGUGGCAAGCGUUGUCCGGAAUUAUUGGGCGUAAAGCGUUCGCAG
This 559-nucleotide ribosomal RNA is filed under the name uncultured Actinomycetes bacterium. RNAcentral's name for it is "bacterial SSU rRNA". It matches the Rfam family "Bacterial small subunit ribosomal RNA", at positions 1 to 574 of the family's 1533-position model. Lineage: Bacteria; Bacillati; Actinomycetota; Actinomycetes. The record is from RNAcentral.